This 597-nucleotide ribosomal RNA is filed under the name Streptococcus thermophilus. RNAcentral's name for it is "bacterial SSU rRNA". It matches the Rfam family "Bacterial small subunit ribosomal RNA", at positions 21 to 601 of the family's 1533-position model. The record is from RNAcentral. Lineage: Bacteria; Bacillati; Bacillota; Bacilli; Lactobacillales; Streptococcaceae.
GGCUCAGGACGAACGCUGGCGGCGUGCCUAAUACAUGCAAGUAGAACGCUGAAGAGAGGAGCUUGCUCUUCUUGGAUGAGUUGCGAACGGGUGAGUAACGCGUAGGUAACCUGCCUUGUAGCGGGGGAUAACUAUUGGAAACGAUAGCUAAUACCCAUAACAAUGGAUGACACAUGUCAUUUAUUUGAAAGGGGCAAUUGCUCCACUACAAGAUGGACCUGCGUUGUAUUAGCUAGUAGGUGAGGUAAUGGCUCACCUAGGCGACGAUACAUAGCCGACCUGAGAGGGUGAUCGGCCACACUGGGACUGAGACACGGCCCAGACUCCUACGGGAGGCAGCAGUAGGGAAUCUUCGGCAAUGGGGGCAACCCUGACCGAGCAACGCCGCGUGAGUGAAGAAGGUUUUCGGAUCGUAAAGCUCUGUUGUAAGUCAAGAACGGGUGUGAGAGUGGAAAGUUCACACUGUGACGGUAGCUUACCAGAAAGGGACGGCUAACUACGUGCCAGCAGCCGCGGUAAUACGUAGGUCCCGAGCGUUGUCCGGAUUUAUUGGGCGUAAAGCGAGCGCAGGCGGUUUGAUAAGUCUGAAGUUAAAGG